RNAcentral lists this ribosomal RNA (253 nucleotides) under uncultured bacterium. RNAcentral's name for it is "partial 16S ribosomal RNA". It matches the Rfam family "Bacterial small subunit ribosomal RNA", at positions 524 to 776 of the family's 1533-position model. The record is from RNAcentral.
UACGUAGGGGGCAAGCGUUAUCCGGAUUUACUGGGUGUAAAGGGAGCGUAGACGGAAUUGCAAGUCUGAUGUGAAAAUCCGGGGCCCAACCCCGGAACUGCAUUGGAAACUGUAUUUCUAGAGUGUCAGAGAGGCAAGUGGAAUUCCUGGUGUAGCGGUGAAAUGCGUAGAUAUCAGGAGGAACACCAGUGGCGAAGGCGGCUUGCUGGACGAUGACUGACGUUGAGGCUCGAAAGCGUGGGUAGCAAACAGG